UCUCACUUCCCGAUCUGUUUCGAUCCGCCAUUUUUUUACGUAGGAAAGCGUGUGGUUUGGCAUUGUGUUUUGUCGAAUUGCUUUACGGAAAUACUGACUUGGGGUCACUACAUACUUCGAUUCUCGCGCACCAGCGGACGCAGCAAGUGAGACGCCAUUGUUAGAUUGCGUUCUCUUGUGUAAAGUUGUGUGUCUAAUAUCAACGUUGGUUAAAUUAUUCGUUGAAAGUAGCACGCAAUAAUCUUCGAUUUGGUGCGCCAUUUCAACAAGGUUCUAAGACGAGCCGAAAAUGCCGGGUUUUAGUAGUGUUGGCACAUUCAAAAUUUUCAUCGGUAAUUUAGCCGAUAAAACAACAAAUGCUGAUAUUAAACCGUUAUUCGAAAAAUAUGGAAAGGUUGUAGAAUGUGAUGUGGUGAAAAAUUACGGAUUUGUGCAUAUGGAAAACGAAGAAGCAGGAAGAAAUGCAAUACAAAAUUUGAAUGGACAUAUAGUUCAUGGUCAGGAGAUUAAAUGUGAAGCUGCAAAGAGUCGUAAAGGACCUAACACACCUACAACAAAAAUAUUUGUUGGCAAUCUCACAGAUAAUACAAAAGCGCCUCAAGUGCGCGAACUAUUUGCCAAGUACGGUACUGUUGUAGAAUGCGAUAUCGUGAGAAAUUAUGGAUUCGUCCAUCUAGAAGCAACAGGUGAUGUCAACGAUGCCAUCAAGGAACUCAAUGGAAGAAUGGUGGAUGGUCAAGCGAUGAAGGUUCAAAUUUCUACAAGCAGAGUACGACAAAGGCCAGGAAUGGGAGAUCCUGAACAGUGCUAUCGAUGCGGUCGCGGCGGCCAUUGGUCCAAGGAGUGCCCGAAAGGAGGAAUGGGAGGAGGACCAGAUAGAAACGGAUACAGAGACCGAAUGUUUGGACGCGAUCCGUAUCCUCCACCGCCGCCACCACCGUUCCUUCGGGAUCGGUUAAUGGGUGGUGGCCGCUUUGGAGAUUACGAAAGCUACUAUGACAGGAGAGGCUUCGAGGACACCAGGGAUCUCUACGAGAGGCGGUUUACGGGUAUGGGAUCCAUGCGCGACACUGGCUUCUCCCGUGGUAACGAGUAUGGCAUGUUCAGCCGCCGAUCGCCCCCUCCAAGUGGCAACAAUGGCCGGUUCAGUGCACCUCAGGCUGCGUACCAUCUUUGUCCAUGAAUGCGGGCAACCCUAGAGAGACAGUCCCGGGCCAGCGGUCAAGUCGUGCAAGACGCUCCUUAUUACGUACAUCACUCAACCGGGAGUGGCGCGGAGGCCUGGGAUGAAGAAACGUUCCUAAGGAAUGCGAACUAGAUUUCUUGAUCGCACUACCGCGAGCCAGGAUGCGAUCCUACAAUUCUAACAAACUCUCGUACGCUGUAGAUAGAAAAGAAAAGAAAAGAAAAGAAAAGAAAAGAAAAGAAAAGAAAAGAGAUGAGAUGAAAUGAAAAAAGGGCUGGCGCGAUUUUCAGGAACGGCGCCUAUCGAUUAUCUUUGAAAUGUCUCGUAAGUAGAAACCAGCUUUCCAGACGCAUUGGACAGUAAGUUUGUAUAUCGGCGUUUGUAAUAGUUGUUAAGGCCAAAUUCAUAGAUACGCUUCAGAAACAUCUUAUUAUUUUGUGUAUCAGUUUUAAUGUAUCUUUAAUUCAAAUAAUGCUUUAAAGUUUUUCAAUCGCAAUUUUUGAGUAAUCAAUAAAUAGAUAAUGUAAUUCAUGAAAUGUAUCUCGGAAAGAUACAGCGUCAAAAAUAAUUUUGAAUUAUACAAACGAUAAAAAAAGGAAAAAAGCAAGUAUGAUAUGCA
Apis laboriosa (Himalayan honeybee) is the source of this 1805-nucleotide RNA transcript. It is a transcript of the gene named RNA-binding protein lark, with no coding region annotated. NCBI's taxonomy places the organism in Eukaryota, Metazoa, Arthropoda, Insecta, Hymenoptera, Apidae. The record is from RefSeq and is a predicted model, not a curated record. The transcript has 9 exons.